AUUGAACGCUGGCGGCAGGCCUAACACAUGCAAGUAGAGCGGAGCGGCGGACGGAUGAGUAAUGCCUAGGAAUCUGCCUGGUAGUGGGGGAUAACGUCCGGAAACGGGCGCUCAUACCGCAUACUAUCAGAUGAGCCUAGGUCGGAUUCGCUAGUUGGUGGGGUAAAGGCAGAACAAGGCGACGAUCCGUAACUGGUCUGAGAGGAUGAGCAGUCACACGGGAACGAAGACACGGUCCAGACUCCUACGGGAGGCAGCAGUGGGGAAUAUUGCACAAUGGGCGCAAGCCUGAUGCAGCCAUGCCGCGUGUAUGAAGAAGGCCUUCGGGUUGUAAAGUACUUUCAGCGGGGAGGCGUUACCCGCAGAAGAAGCACCGGCUAACUCCGUGCCAGCAGCCGCGGUAAUAC
RNAcentral lists this ribosomal RNA (407 nucleotides) under uncultured bacterium. Its description in RNAcentral is "partial 16S ribosomal RNA". It matches the Rfam family "Bacterial small subunit ribosomal RNA", at positions 29 to 526 of the family's 1533-position model. The record is from RNAcentral.